UACGAUACAUCUUCUCUUGAC
This 21-nucleotide non-coding RNA is filed under the name Caenorhabditis elegans. The record is from RNAcentral. Lineage: Eukaryota; Metazoa; Nematoda; Chromadorea; Rhabditida; Rhabditidae.